GUCUGUAUAGAUUAUUUAAAUCAUGAUGCUGUUAACUUCAAAAUGAAGAGUUUUCUUCUGCAGUCG
Molecule: transfer RNA, 66 nt
Filed under: Tetrabothrius erostris
Lineage: Eukaryota; Metazoa; Platyhelminthes; Cestoda; Tetrabothriidea; Tetrabothriidae
Description: tRNA-Asn
Source: RNAcentral